This 253-nucleotide ribosomal RNA is filed under the name uncultured bacterium. RNAcentral describes it as "partial 16S ribosomal RNA". It matches the Rfam family "Bacterial small subunit ribosomal RNA", at positions 524 to 776 of the family's 1533-position model. The record is from RNAcentral.
UACAGAGGCCACGAGCGUUAGGCGGAAUCACUGGGCUUAAAGCGUGUGUAGGUGGAUCGGUAAGUACCUUGUGAAAUCCCACGACUCAAUCGUGGAACUGCUUGGUAUACUGCCAGUCUUGAGGUACUCAGGGGCAAGCGGAACAGAUGGUGGAGCGGUGAAAUGCGUAGAUAUCAUCUGGAACGCCAAUGGUGAAGACAGCUUGCUGGGGGUAUUCUGACACUGAGACACGAAAGCCAGGGGAGCAAACGGG